CACGUCUGUCAAAACUGGUUAGGCGAGGUACGAAGGCGUCCGUUAGGCGGAGCAGGGUGAGGGCGUGGUCGGCAGUGUGUUUGGGAUCGGAACAAAAGGGAGCUAGGGGUGUCGGAGGGCGAGGGGAGGAGGUAGGGGGAGGAGCGCAGUGGUGCCGGAGGCGGGACCCUCGGGACGGCGGCGGAGAGGAGGUGGGGGAGGAGCGCAGCGGUGCCGGAGGCGGGACCUCAGGGCGGCGGCGGACGAUAAGGAGGAGGUGGUGCGAUCGGGGAGAUGGAGCAGAAGGAAGAGAAGUAACAACCAAGGUCUAGUUCGUGCCCAAUCCGCUCGGGUCACCACCCCACUUCCCCGUCCCCUUCUCCUCCACCCAUUGAUCCACUUCCUCGUCCAGCCGGGAGGAUCUCCGCCGCGGCGGCGGGUCGGUCCCUCCUCCGGUCUGAGAGGAGGUCCGAGCGGAGACAAAACGGGACUCGUCGCCGUCGCGGAUACGGAGGUGGGGUGGAAGAAAAGGUACGGAGAAGGAACCGUACUGUCCGUCUAAAACUCCUACCCCUCUGGGGUACCCGAUCCACAGGAAGGAGGAGAACCACUGUAUAUUCUCCUGGACGUUGUGACUUGGCCCUUCAGGAAAAAAUCCGUCACCAGUACCUCGUUGUUAUAUACGACGCACCGUAACGUCCAAUAAAAGGCGGGGCCAGCUAGGUCCGUGCCGCAACCUACCCUCUCUCGUCCCCUCCCGGUUCUCCGGUCGCCACACCCCACCUCGUCGCUCCGGCUUCUGGUCCGUCGCCUGCGGAGUGCCCCACCUCCUCUCCAGCCUCUAUCCCUUUUCGUCGUAGAAGUACCUACUCUAGGACUGCCGACUUCUACCACGUGUGCCCUCCUAGAACCUUCUACAGUUCCCCGCGGCGCUCCUCACCUCAUUCGAUUUAUGGACUGACCGACCUAGUAAAAACCCGAGAAAUGUCUAAAUAGCUGAAGUUUACCAAUAGAGUAUCAACUUCGUUUACCACCAGACUUAGUUGUCACAGAAAAAUAGACGCUACGUCAACAACACCGGUCGAACGAAUUACGUUGAGAACACUAGGGUUAUAAAGUAAACUUAUCGCAAACCGCGCUAGGAUCGAAACACCCGCUCACUUACGUACUACUACCGUCGAACCACAAACGUAUUAUGUUCCCUUCCUCGACGACUCGGUUGAGAGUACAUGAAGUGUACUCGACUUUCUCCAACCAUACUACGACGCUCCGUACCCCAAACUGUUAUGUUGGAAGGAGAUACAACGGAGGCCAUUUUAUAUGUUACGACGUUUUAUGUACCGAGGGGAAGCGGUCUACAAGGGAGAAAAUGUUUGGUUCCUGUGAGAACGUAACAGACUUCUCGAACGACUCAAACUCCCCAUGAGAAGAGCCAAUCGUCGUAAUCUAAUGUGGCAGACACAAGUCUCGCUUCACAAACACUGCUGAGUUCCCACCUUGAAGGGAGUGAAAAACUACCCUGUGUCCGCAAUGGAUAAUCCUCCCUUACGUUUCUGUUAUUUUGCACUGUUUGCCUUCGACCAGAAUAGAAAACUGCUGGGUUUAUAGUCCUCAGCUAAGUUCGUGGUGUACGACCUUUAUGACGUGGUAUCACUGUAUUCCCCGUAGUGUAAGUCCUUUGGAUUACUAAGGUAUAUGUGGAAGGGUUACGGACUAACGUACACGGUUGUUCUACCUUAUACUAGAUCCGCAAUCGUAUGUAUUAACUCCAUACGUAUAGGAGAUGGAAACACGUUGUUUCCGUGGUUUCCGUGCUGUAACAACUGACGUACUAAUCCUAAACUACCAGUACUACUUUUGACCUCACUUUAUUUCGUAAACCACGAAGAGUCCUCUAAGAUUUUGGGAGACCGUAUGGGGUUUGGCAAGCUAAGACCUAUAUUACCAGUUUUCCACGGAUUACUGUUACUUAAGGUAUCCUAGUCUUUAACUCUUCUACACUCCCUAAAACAUUUCAAUCAUUAGACAUCCAUCAGGUGGUAUAUCGUUAGAGGUAAACAAGUUAGACAGACAUCCAACAAUUUCUUUUCUCGAUGCUCUAACCCAACAUCUAUACUCAUGUUGGACUCACGGAGUUACAUAUAAUUUUUUGUUCGCGAUUGUUGUUGUUUCUUUCCUUAAAAGGUCAUAUAGUAAUGAGGAGUCACGAACAAGAGCGUAAAGUAGAACGGGAACUGUUAAGUAUAAAUACUCGUACAAGAAUAUCAAGUCUGGAUUGCAAGAAAAAAGAAAGGAACCCGUGAAGGAGUUCUUAGAACAACUCCACAGACAAAGGGGAGAAACACAGUACUUACUAACACUACAAACACCAGAAGAAAAAAGAAAAAGAAACUAUACAUAACCUAUACGAUGAGCGUAGAAACUUGUACGUAUCCCGGAGAGUCAGAAAUUGGGACUGAUAUUUUUAGGUAACUACCUUCGACCCCUCCCGGCUCUACUUGUAGGCCGAGGGACCCAGAUUCGGUAGCUCUACCAUCUCUACUGCAAAGGUACAGUAAAUGAGGUCGUGGGCCUGUUCCGUAUAUUUUUGGUACCUAGGAAACGAGGGGUCCGGUGUUUUACUAGUGUCACUACAAAUGCUGGAGGAGGAUCUACAUAAUUAGUGUUAGAGUACUAACCAAAAGAAGGGGAAAGAGAAGAUUACUACAUUAAAGAAAAUGAUUCUAUUGUGGUACAAACAACAUUACGGAAUAAACUACAUUCUAGGGAAAAGAUGAAACUUACUUAAAUG
This 2770-nucleotide ribosomal RNA is filed under the name Triticum aestivum (bread wheat). RNAcentral describes it as "partial small subunit ribosomal RNA". Lineage: Eukaryota; Viridiplantae; Streptophyta; Magnoliopsida; Poales; Poaceae. The record is from RNAcentral.